UGUUAAAAAUUUCAUCCAUUUGUACUUCUAAAGCUGGCGUGGCUGAUUGAAUAUUCAGAUAGUGACAUGUUGCGUGCCACAUAUACCUCAUGUUGAUGUAUAGGAACUAGUUUUUAAUAGUAAAAUUGGAUGAAAUUUUUAUCA
Gossypium raimondii (Peruvian cotton) is the source of this 144-nucleotide non-coding RNA. Lineage: Eukaryota; Viridiplantae; Streptophyta; Magnoliopsida; Malvales; Malvaceae. The record is from Rfam.